GGCCAAGGGAAGAAGGGAGUAAGACAGUGGAAGUAUCAGUCAGGAUAGAAGCUGCAUCAACAACUUACUCGAAUCACCUUGAGACUGGAUUGACUAAGUUCAAGGUUAGUCGACCUAGUCCAGAGGUGGGUCGACUAUGUCUCAGGUGGAGGGUCAGACAGAAAUAGAGAGUUUCAGUAUUUCAGGCUGGCAUACUUUUUGAGUUGACUAA
This 211-nucleotide long non-coding RNA is filed under the name Elaeis guineensis (African oil palm). Its description in RNAcentral is "long non-coding RNA (EGUI_LNC051205)". Lineage: Eukaryota; Viridiplantae; Streptophyta; Magnoliopsida; Arecales; Arecaceae. The record is from RNAcentral.